RNAcentral lists this ribosomal RNA (161 nucleotides) under uncultured bacterium. RNAcentral's name for it is "partial 16S ribosomal RNA". It matches the Rfam family "Bacterial small subunit ribosomal RNA", at positions 1340 to 1500 of the family's 1533-position model. The record is from RNAcentral.
AAUGGCAGGUCAGCAUACUGCCGUGAAUACGUUCCCGGGCCCUUGUACACACCGCCCGUCACACCAUGAGAGUUGGGAAUACCCGGAGCCUGUGAGCUAACUUUUAGAGGCAGCAGUCGAAGGUAGAAUCAAUGAUUGGGGUGAAGUCGUAACAAGGUAUC